AAAUGUGCUAAAAUCGUGCUAAAACAAUUGAAUACAAGCUUUUAUUUAAAUAAUUAAUGUGAAAAAAUGAGGAUUGUAUUUGCCUAAAGCAAGAAAUGAUAAUUGGAAUUAUAUUUCUAUGCUAUUGCUUAGUGACCAAGCGACCGCGUGUGUAUCAAAUGUGCUAAAAUCGUGCUAAAACAAUUGAAUACAAGCUUUUAUUUAAAUAAUUAAUGUGAAAAAAUGAGGAUUGUAUUUGCCUAAAGCAAGAAAUGAUAAUUGGAAUUAUAUUUCUAUGCUAUUGCUUAGUGACCAAGCGACCGCGUGUGUAUCAAAUGUGCUAAAAUCGUGCUAAAACAAUUGAAUACAAGCUUUUAUUUAAAUAAUUAAUGUGAAAAAAUGAGGAUUGUAUUUGCCUAAAGCAAGAAAUGAUAAUUGGAAUUAUAUUUCUAUGCUAUUGCUUAGUGACCAAGCGACCGCGUGUGUAUCAAAUGUGCUAAAAUCGUGCUAAAACAAUUGAAUACAAGCUUUUAUUUAAAUAAUUAAUGUGAAAAAAUGAGGAUUGUAUUUGCCUAAAGCAAGAAAUGAUAAUUGGUGCCGUGAUGAUGUCUCGUGGUCUCAGUCAUUGAAUAUGCCAACCUACUAUCAUUAUGAUUUUAAUUACAAAAGAGCACAAGAUGAAAAUUUAUAUACUUGAUUAAUUCAUGUGUAUAUUUCUCCAGCAUGAUGAGGAGCGCAAAUAAUAUUCAUUGGAAUUAUAUUUCUUUGCUAUUGCAUAUGCAUGCAGUGAUGAUGUCUCAUUAAAGUCAUUGAAUAUGCCAACCUACUAUCAUUAUGAUUUUAAUUACAAAAGAGCACAAGAUGAAAAUUUAUAUACUUGAUUAAUUCAUGUGUAUAUUUCUCCAGCAUGAUGAGGAGCGCAAAUAAUAUUCAUUGGAAUUAUAUUUCUUUGCUAUUGCAUAUGCAUGCAGUGAUGAUGUCUCAUUAAAGUCAUUGAAUAUGCCAACCUACUAUCAUUAUGAUUUUAAUUACAAAAGAGCACAAGAUGAAAAUUUAUAUACUUGAUUAAUUCAUGUGUAUAUUUCUCCAGCAUGAUGAGGAGCGCAAAUAAUAUUCAUUGGAAUUAUAUUUCUUUGCUAUUGCAUAUGCAUGCAGUGAUGAUGUCUCAUUAAAGUCAUUGAAUAUGCCAACCUACUAUCAUUAUGAUUUUAAUUACAAAAGAGCACAAGAUGAAAAUUUAUAUACUUGAUUAAUUCAUGUGUAUAUUUCUCCAGCAUGAUGAGGAGCGCAAAUAAUAUUCAUUGGAAUUAUAUUUCUUUGCUAUUGCAUAUGCAUGCAGUGAUGAUGUCUCAUUAAAGUCAUUGAAUAUGCCAACCUACUAUCAUUAUGAUUUUAAUUACAAAAGAGCACAAGAUGAAAAUUUAUAUACUUGAUUAAUUCAUGUGUAUAUUUCUCCAGCAUGAUGAGGAGCGCAAAUAAUAUUCAUUGGAAUUAUAUUUCUUUGCUAUUGCAUAUGCAUGCAGUGAUGAUGUCUCAUUAAAGUCAUUGAAUAUGCCAACCUACUAUCAUUAUGAUUUUAAUUACAAAAGAGCACAAGAUGAAAAUUUAUAUACUUGAUUAAUUCAUGUGUAUAUUUCUCCAGCAUGAUGAGGAGCGCAAAUAAUAUUCAUUGGAAUUAUAUUUCUUUGCUAUUGCAUAUGCAUGCAGUGAUGAUGUCUCAUUAAAGUCAUUGAAUAUGCCAACCUACUAUCAUUAUGAUUUUAAUUACAAAAGAGCACAAGAUGAAAAUUUAUAUACUUGAUUAAUUCAUGUGUAUAUUUCUCCAGCAUGAUGAGGAGCGCAAAUAAUAUUCAUUGGAAUUAUAUUUCUUUGCUAUUGCAUAUGCAUGCAGUGAUGAUGUCUCAUUAAAGUCAUUGAAUAUGCCAACCUACUAUCAUUAUGAUUUUAAUUACAAAAGAGCACAAGAUGAAAAUUUAUAUACUUGAUUAAUUCAUGUGUAUAUUUCUCCAGCAUGAUGAGGAGCGCAAAUAAUAUUCAUUGGAAUUAUAUUUCUUUGCUAUUGCAUAUGCAUGCAGUGAUGAUGUCUCAUUAAAGUCAUUGAAUAUGCCAACCUACUAUCAUUAUGAUUUUAAUUACAAAAGAGCACAAGAUGAAAAUUUAUAUACUUGAUUAAUUCAUGUGUAUAUUUCUCCAGCAUGAUGAGGAGCGCAAAUAAUAUUCAUUGGAAUUAUAUUUCUUUGCUAUUGCAUAUGCAUGCAGUGAUGAUGUCUCAUUAAAGUCAUUGAAUAUGCCAACCUACUAUCAUUAUGAUUUUAAUUACAAAAGAGCACAAGAUGAAAAUUUAUAUACUUGAUUAAUUCAUGUGUAUAUUUCUCCAGCAUGAUGAGGAGCGCAAAUAAUAUUCAUUGGAAUUAUAUU
Long non-coding RNA from Ctenocephalides felis (cat flea), 2397 nucleotides. RefSeq lists it as uncharacterized. NCBI's taxonomy places the organism in Eukaryota, Metazoa, Arthropoda, Insecta, Siphonaptera, Pulicidae. The record is from RefSeq and is a predicted model, not a curated record. The transcript has 11 exons.